RNAcentral lists this ribosomal RNA (460 nucleotides) under uncultured bacterium. Its description in RNAcentral is "partial 16S ribosomal RNA". It matches the Rfam family "Bacterial small subunit ribosomal RNA", at positions 338 to 795 of the family's 1533-position model. The record is from RNAcentral.
CCUACGGGAGGCAGCAGUGAGGAAUAUUGGUCAAUGGACGAGAGUCUGAACCAGCCACGUAGCGUGAAGGAUGACUGCCCUAUGGGUGUUAAACUUUGUUUAUAUGGGAAUAAAACGUUCCACGUGUGUGUUUAUGUAUCUACCAUAUGAAUACGGAUCGGCUAACUCCGUGCCAGCAGCCGCGGUAAUACGGAGGAUCCGAGCGUUAUCCGGAUUUAUUGGGUUUAAAGGGAGCGUAGGUGGAUUGUUAAGUCAGUUGUGAAAGUUUGCGGCUCAACCGUAAAAUUGCAGUUGAAACUGGCAGUCUUGAGUACAGUAGAGGUGGGCGGAAUUCGUGGUGUAGCGGUGAAAUGCUUAGAUAUAACGAAGAACUCCGAUUGCGAAGGCAGUUCACUGGACUGCAACUGACACUGAGGCUCGAAAGUGUGGGUAUCAAACAGGAUUAGAUACCCUUGUAGUC